GCCCCUAAUCCUGCAGCCAGGCCAUCCUUUACUGAAAUUGCCGGCCGAUUGCGAGUAAUGUCGACAGCUGCUGCCCAAACCAAAGGACACAGUAACAAAACCUCAAAGUAAAUGUGACGCAACACUGGCAGUCCAUUAUUUGAGGAUUGCAUAUAUUUAAAAAGAAAUUAAAAACUUAAUUAUUUUGUCUCAUUAUAUUAGGUCUAUAGUUUUUAAUUGUAAUGGUUUUUGUUAUUUGAAAAAGAAAUUCAAAACUUAAUCAUUUUGGGUGUUUUGUUUUCUCGUUAUGCAAGGUAUAUAAGCAAUCCUCAAAUAAUGGACUGC
This 324-nucleotide unclassified non-coding RNA is filed under the name Hevea brasiliensis (rubber tree). The record is from RNAcentral. Lineage: Eukaryota; Viridiplantae; Streptophyta; Magnoliopsida; Malpighiales; Euphorbiaceae.